This 506-nucleotide ribosomal RNA is filed under the name uncultured bacterium. RNAcentral's name for it is "partial 16S ribosomal RNA". It matches the Rfam family "Bacterial small subunit ribosomal RNA", at positions 29 to 523 of the family's 1533-position model. The record is from RNAcentral.
AGUGAACGCUGGCGGUAGGCCUAACACAUGCAAGUCGAACGGCAGCACAGGAGAGCUUGCUCUCUGGGUGGCGAGUGGCGGACGGGUGAGGAAUACAUCGGAAUCUACUUUUUCGUGGGGGAUAACGUAGGGAAACUUACGCUAAUACCGCAUACGACCUACGGGUGAAAGCAGGGGACCUUCGGGCCUUGCGCGAUUGAUUGAGCCGAUGUCGGAUUAGCUAGUUGGCGGGGUAAAGGCCCACCAAGGCGACGAUCCGUAGCUGGUCUGGGAGGAUGAUCAGCCACACUGGAACUGAGACACGGUCCAGACUCCUACGGGAGGCAGCAGUGGGGAAUAUUGGACAAUGGGCGCAAGCCUGAUCCAGCCAUACCGCGUGGGUGAAGAAGGCCUUCGGGUUGUAAAGCCCUUUUGUUGGGAAAGAAAUCCAGCUGGCUAAUACCCGGUUGGGAUGACGGUACCCAAAGAAUAAGCACCGGCUAACUUCGUGCCAGCCGCCGCGGUAA